UCACUGAUAGCAACCAUCAUAAUGCCCCACCCAGCUCCCGGCACCUUUCGCCACUCCGGCACAAACCGACACAGCUUUGCGAUCUCGCCAGCAUGCAGAGUCUGAUGUCUUCCCUAUAGAUGAUUCCAGAGACUCUGUGAAGCCACUAUUACAAGGUGAGACGCUUUGCGUUGAUUGGUGCUGCUGGACCACACUGGAGGUGCGAGUCAGCCGUGUAAUGGUUUA
Molecule: long non-coding RNA, 225 nt
Organism: Pelmatolapia mariae (spotted tilapia)
Lineage: Eukaryota; Metazoa; Chordata; Actinopteri; Cichliformes; Cichlidae
Exons: 3
Source: RefSeq, a predicted model, not a curated record